Molecule: ribosomal RNA, 492 nt
Filed under: uncultured bacterium
Lineage: Bacteria
Description: partial 16S ribosomal RNA
Rfam family: Bacterial small subunit ribosomal RNA
Source: RNAcentral
AGUGAACGCUGGCGGUAGGCCUAACACAUGCAAGUCGAACGGCAGCACAGUAAGAGCUUGCUCUUACGGGUGUCGAGUGGCGGACGGGUGAGGAAUACAUCGGAAUCUACUUUUUCGUGGGGGAUAACGUAGGGAAACUUACGCUAAUACCGCAUACGACCUACGGGUGAAAGCAGGGGAUCUUCGGACCUUGCGCGAUUGAAUGAGCCGAUGUCGGAUUAGCUAGUUGGCGGGGUAAAGGCCCACCAAGGCGACGAUCCGUAGCUGGUCUGAGAGGAUGAUCAGCCAGACUGGAACUGAGACACGGUCCAGACUCAGACGGGAGGCAGCAGUGGGGAAUAUUGGACAAUGGGCGCAAGCCUGAUCCAGCCAUACCGCGUGGGUGAAGAAGGCCUUCGGGUUGUAAAGCCCUUUUGUUGGGAAAGAAAAGCAGCAGGUUAAUACCCCGCUGUUCUGACGGUACCCAAAGAAUAAGCACCGGCUAACUUCGUG